UGGGGAAUUUUGGACAAUGGGCGCAAGCUUGAUCCAGCCAUGCCGCGUGAGUGAAGAAGGCCUUCGGGUUGUAAAGCUCUUUCAGACGGAAAGAAACGGUCUUGGUUAAUACCUGAGGCUAAUGACGGUACCGUCAGAAGAAGCACCGGCUAACUAC
Molecule: ribosomal RNA, 157 nt
Filed under: uncultured bacterium
Lineage: Bacteria
Description: partial 16S ribosomal RNA
Rfam family: Bacterial small subunit ribosomal RNA
Source: RNAcentral